This 75-nucleotide transfer RNA is filed under the name Hyphomicrobium sp. RNAcentral describes it as "tRNA-Glu". It matches the Rfam family "tRNA". Rfam says of the family: Transfer RNA (tRNA) molecules are approximately 80 nucleotides in length. Their secondary structure includes four short double-helical elements and three loops (D, anti-codon, and T loops). Further hydrogen bonds mediate the characteristic L-shaped molecular structure. tRNAs have two regions of fundamental functional importance: the anti-codon, which is responsible for specific mRNA codon recognition, and the 3' end, to which the tRNAs corresponding amino acid is attached (by aminoacyl-tRNA synthetases). tRNAs cope with the degeneracy of the genetic code in two manners: having more than one tRNA (with a specific anti-codon) for a particular amino acid; and 'wobble' base-pairing, i.e. permitting non-standard base-pairing at the 3rd anti-codon position. The record is from RNAcentral. Lineage: Bacteria; Pseudomonadati; Pseudomonadota; Alphaproteobacteria; Hyphomicrobiales; Hyphomicrobiaceae. RNAcentral also lists the same sequence under 19 other names.
GCUCCCUUCGUCUAUCGGUUAGGACGUCAGAUUUUCAAUCUGAAAAGACGGGUUCGACUCCCGUAGGGAGCGCCA